UACGAAGGGUGCAAGCGUUACUCGGAAUUACUGGGCGUAAAGCGCACGUAGGCGGACUCUUAAGUCGGUGGUGAAAUCCUGGAGCUCAACUCCAGAACUGCCUUCGAUACUGAGAGUCUCGAGUCCGGGAGAGGUGAGUGGAACUGCGAGUGUAGAGGUGAAAUUCGUAGAUAUUCGCAAGAACACCAGUGGCGAAGGCGGCUCACUGGCCCGGUACUGACGCUGAGGUGCGAAAGCGUGGGGAGCAAACAGG
Molecule: ribosomal RNA, 253 nt
Filed under: uncultured bacterium
Lineage: Bacteria
Description: partial 16S ribosomal RNA
Rfam family: Bacterial small subunit ribosomal RNA
Source: RNAcentral